UAGCAAUACAGGUGGCGCACGGCGCACGGGUGCGUAACACGUGGGUAACCUGCCCUUUAGUGGGGAAUAACCUCGCGAAAGCGAGGCUAAUUCCGCAUAAGAUCCGCAAGGAUGAAAGCCGAAAGGCGCUGAUGGAGGGGCCCGCGCACGAUUAGCUAGUUGGUGAGGUAAUGGCUCACCAAGGCUAUGAUCGUUAGCUGGUCUGAGAGGAUGGCCAGCCACACUGGAACUGAGACACGGUCCAGACUCCUACGGGAGGCAGCAGUGGGGAAUCUUGCACAAUGGGCGAAAGCCUGAUGCAGCGACGCCGCGUGGGGGAUGAAGCUUCUCGGAGUGUAAACCCCUUUCGACCCGGACGAAUACCUCGCAAGAGGGGUGACGGUACGGGUAUAAGAAGCCCCGGCUAACUACGUGCCAGCAGCCGCGGUAAGACGUAGGGGGCCAGCGUUGUUCGGAAUUACUGGGUGUAAAGGGUUCGUAGGCGGUGUGGCAAGUCGGGAGUGAAAUUUCGGGGCUCAACUCAGAGACUGCUUCCGAAACUGCUGUGCUGGAGUGUGGGAGAGGCGCGUGGAAUUGCAGGUGUAGCGGUGAAAUGCGUAGAUAUCUGCAGGAACACCCGUGGCGAAAGCGGCGCGCUGGACCACUACUGACGCUGAGGAACGAAAGCUAGGGGAGCAAACAGGAUUAGAUACCCUGGUAGUCCUAGCCCUAAACGAUCAGGAACUUGGGGUGCCACCCGUUCGGGUGUCGUCCCGGAGCUAACGCGUUAAGUCCUGCACCUGGGGAGUACGGUCGCAAGACUGAAACUCAAAGGAAUUGAC
This 821-nucleotide ribosomal RNA is filed under the name uncultured Bacillota bacterium. RNAcentral describes it as "bacterial SSU rRNA". It matches the Rfam family "Bacterial small subunit ribosomal RNA", at positions 77 to 914 of the family's 1533-position model. Lineage: Bacteria; Bacillati; Bacillota. The record is from RNAcentral.